CUCACUAAAAUCGUUCAUUUAUGAUACUACAUUUUACUAACUUAAAAUAAAACAAUUCAUUUUUAUAGAAAACAAGAGUAACUCUAAACUCUAAACCCUAAACCCUAAACCCUAAACACCAACAAAUCAAAAACAUAAGCAAAAAAUAUACAAGUGAAUAAAUUCAACACCCAAAAGUAUAAGCACAUGUACUUGAAUGAAAAGUAAAAAACCUUAUAAAUUGAAUAACCAAAAAACACUAAAUGAAGAUGCAAGAAAAAAGAUCCUAAAUCGAUAACUAAAAACACUAAACUGAAGCAAACAACAAUCACACAGAGAAACAACAAUAAUGAUAACGAGAAGUAAACUAACAACGAGAAGACUCAACAACCUGUAUACGUUGCACAACUUGGAUCUUUGUCGCGCAAUCUUUCUCUAUCUUAGAAGAACAACAAGACGGGAAAAUUGAUAAGUGAAGAAAAGGUAGACGAGACAAGAGAUAUAAGAAUCAGGGUCAAGAGAGGAACAAUAGAGAAGCCUGAUAGACAACCAAGCGACGAUAGAGAAAAGCUUGAGGGAUGAUGGAUAGACAAGAGACAAAAGCUUGAGGGGUGUGAGAGGGACGGGAGAGAGAUGAGAGGGGCUGAGGGAAGAAGAGAAGAAUGAAGAAGGAAGAUAGAAUUUUUAGAAAAUAACAAAAUGACAAAAAUGACGAAUAUGUAUGUACAAUAUAUAUUUAUAUAGUAUUUGUGUCUAAAAUUGUGUUGACAUAUUAGUUCUCAAUUCUUAACGAUUGUCUCUGAG
RNAcentral lists this long non-coding RNA (783 nucleotides) under Cicer arietinum (chickpea). RNAcentral's name for it is "long non-coding RNA (CARI_LNC001523)". Lineage: Eukaryota; Viridiplantae; Streptophyta; Magnoliopsida; Fabales; Fabaceae. The record is from RNAcentral.